RNAcentral lists this ribosomal RNA (280 nucleotides) under Nylanderia sp. SL13.04. Its description in RNAcentral is "partial large subunit ribosomal RNA". The record is from RNAcentral. Lineage: Eukaryota; Metazoa; Arthropoda; Insecta; Hymenoptera; Formicidae.
UGGGACGAGAAGACCCUAUAGAAUUUAAUAUAAUUUUUGAAUCUAUAUAAGGUAAAAUAAAUUUUAUUUAUAAGUUAUAUUUUAUUGGGAGGAUAAUUAAAUAAAAUGAACUUUAAUUUUAAUAUAAUUUAACAUUAACAUUGAUUAAUGAAAUUUUAAUAAAAGAUUAAUUAUUAAAUUAAAAAAAUAUUUUUUUAUUUUUUAUAAUAGUUAUUAUAAAAAUUAAUUACCUUAGGGAUAACAGCGUGAUAUUUUUAAAAAGAUCAUAUUAAUAAAAAUG